GACGAACGCUGGCGGCGUGCUUAACACAUGCAAGUCGAACGGAAAGGCCCUGCUUGCAGGGUACUCGAGUGGCGAACGGGUGAGUAACACGUGGGUGAUCUGCCCUGCACUUCGGGAUAAGCUUGGGAAACUGGGUCUAAUACCGGAUAGGAGCCAUCUUUAGUGUGGUGGUUGGAAAGUUUUUUCGGUGUGGGAUGAGCUCGCGGCCUAUCAGCUUGUUGGUGGGGUAAUGGCCUACCAAGGCGGCGACGGGUAGCCGGCCUGAGAGGGUGUACGGCCACAUUGGGACUGAGAUACGGCCCAGACUCCUACGGGAGGCAGCAGUGGGGAAUAUUGCACAAUGGGCGCAAGCCUGAUGCAGCGACGCCGCGUGGGGGAUGAAGGCCUUCGGGUUGUAAACUCCUUUCGCUAGGGACGAAGCUUUUUGUGACGGUACCUAGAUAAGAAGCACCGGCUAACUACGUG
RNAcentral lists this ribosomal RNA (465 nucleotides) under uncultured bacterium. RNAcentral's name for it is "partial 16S ribosomal RNA". It matches the Rfam family "Bacterial small subunit ribosomal RNA", at positions 28 to 507 of the family's 1533-position model. The record is from RNAcentral.